Molecule: ribosomal RNA, 608 nt
Filed under: uncultured bacterium
Lineage: Bacteria
Description: bacterial SSU rRNA
Rfam family: Bacterial small subunit ribosomal RNA
Source: RNAcentral
GCAGUCGAACGGUAACAGGAAUUAGCUUGCUAAUUUGCUGACGAGUGGCGCACGGGUGCGUAACGCGUAUACAAUCUACCUUUUGCUGAGGGAUAGCCCAGAGAAAUUUGGAUUAAUACCUCAUGGUAUUAUUGAUAGGCAUCUAUUAAUAAUUAAAGGUUACGGCAAAAGAUGAGUAUGCGUCCCAUUAGCUAGUUGGUGAAGUAACGGUUCACCAAGGCAACGAUGGGUAGGGGUCCUGAGAGGGAGAUCCCCCACACUGGUACUGAGACACGGACCAGACUCCUACGGGAGGCAGCAGUGAGGAAUAUUGGACAAUGGGCGAGAGCCUGAUCCAGCCAUGCCGCGUGCAGGAAGACUGCCCUAUGGGUUGUAAACUGCUUUUAUACAGGAAGAAUAAGCCUUACGUGUAAGGUGAUGACGGUACUGUAAGAAUAAGGACCGGCUAACUCCGUGCCAGCAGCCGCGGUAAUACGGAGGGUCCGAGCGUUAUCCGGAAUUAUUGGGUUUAAAGGGUCCGUAGGCGGAUGAUUAAGUCAGGGGUGAAAGUUUGCAGCUCAACUGUAAAAUUGCCUUUGAUACUGGUUAUCUUGAGUUGUAUUGAAGUA